CGGGGGAUGCCUAGGCUCUCAGAGGCGAAGAAGGACGUGAUAAGCUGCGAUAAGAUCAGGGAAGGGGCACAUACCCGGUGAUCCUGAUAUUUCCGAAUGGGGCAACCCCCUUGGUUGAAGACCAAGGAUCUUUAUCUUUAGGAUGAAGAGGCAAACGCGGGGAACUGAAACAUCUAAGUACCCGCAGGAACAGAAAAUAAGAAUGAUUCCCCAAGUAGUGGCGAGCGAACGGGGACGAGCCCAAACCGGGUUGGUUACGGCCAGCGCGGGGUUGUAGGACUGCAACAUCUGAUUGAGUACUCUUAGCUGAAUGACGUGGGAAAGUCAACCAGAGACGGUGAGAGUCCGGUAAGCGAGCAGAGUAGUCACAGUAGCAGACUCCUGAGUAAGGCGGGACCAGCGAAAUCCCGUCUGAAUCCGGCGGUACCAUCCGCCAAGGCUACAUACUCCUGAGAGACCGAUAGUGAACUAGUACCGUGAGGGAAAGGUGAAAAGAACCGGGAAUACCGGAGUGAAAAGAACCUGAAACCGUGUGCUUACAAGCGGUCAGAGGCCUUACGUGGGCUGAUGGCGUGCCUUUUGCAUAAUGAGCCUACGAGUUACUCUUCUCGGGCAAGGUUAACUGACUUAAGUCAGGGAGCCGCAGCGAAAGCGAGUCUGAAUAGGGCGCAGAGUCCGAGGAGGUAGACGCGAAACUUUGUGAUCUACCCAUGAGCAGGCUGAAGGUUGGGUAACACCACCUGGAGGGCCGAACCAGUUUCCGUUGAAAAGGAUUUGGAUGACUUGUGGGUAGGGGUGAAAGGCCAAUCAAACUGAGAAAUAGCUCGUACUCCCCGAAAUGUAUUUAGGUACAGCGUCGGCGUGGAGUUACUGGGAGGUAGAGCUACCAAUAGGACUAGGGGGUGUCAGAGCCUACCGAAUCCUGAUGAACUCCGAAUGCCCAGUAAUAUAGCCGGCAGUGAGGCUUGGGGUGCUAAGGUCCCAGGCCGAGAGGGAAAGAACCCAGACCAUCCGCUAAGGUCCCUAAAUUCGGACUAAGUUGAACAAAGGAGGUCCACUUGCUUUGACAGCCAGGAGGUUGGCUUGGAAGCAGCCAUUCCUUUAAAGAGUGCGUAACAGCUCACUGGUCGAGCGAGAGGGCAUCGAUAAUACGCGGGCAUCAAGUCCGGUACCGAAGCGAUGGAUUUACACUUUUAGUGUAAGUGGUAGGGGAGCAUUCUCGUCCGCGGCGAAGGUGUGCUGUCAGGCAUGCUGGAGCGACGAGAAAAGCAAAUGUAGGCAUGAGUAACGAUAAGGCG
Molecule: ribosomal RNA, 1298 nt
Filed under: Symbiodinium sp. Mp
Lineage: Eukaryota; Dinophyceae; Suessiales; Symbiodiniaceae
Description: partial Bacterial large subunit ribosomal RNA
Rfam family: Bacterial large subunit ribosomal RNA
Source: RNAcentral